GACGAAGUCUGACGCAGCACGCCGCGUGCAGGAAGAAGGCCUUCGGGUUGUAAACUGCUUUUAUGAGGGACGACUUCGACGGUACCUCAAGAAUAAGGAUCGGCUAACUCCGUGCCAGCAGCCGCGGUCAUACGGAGGAUCCGAGCGUUAUCCGGAAUUACUGGGCGUAAAGAGUUGCGUAGGCGGAUGGCCAAGCAAAGUAUAAAAACUCACGGCUCAACCGUGAAUCUAUAUUUUGAACUGGUCAACUAGGGCGUAGGAGAGGUAGCUGGAAUUGCUGGUGUAGGAGUGAAAUCCGUAGAUAUCAGCAGGAACACCGAUGGCGUAAGCAGGCUACUAGCCUAUUGCCGACGCUAAGGCACGAAAGCGUGGGGAGCGAACGGGAUUAGAUACCCCGGUAGUCCACGCCGUAAACGAUGGAUGCUAGCAGUGCACCGUAUCGAUCCGGUGCGUUGCGAAGCUAACGCGUUAAGCAUCCCGCCUGGGGAGUACGGUCGCAAGAUUAAAACUCAAAGGAAUAGACGGGGACCCGCACAAGCGGUGGAGCGUGUUGUUUAAUACAAUAAUAAGCGUAGAACCUUACCAGGGCUUGACUCCUCGGGAAGACUCUCGAAAGAAAGUUGUGCCUUUUAGGAAUCCGAUGACAGGUGUUGCAUGGCCGUCGUCAGCUCGUGUCGUGAGAUGUUUGGUUAAGUCCAUUAACGAGCGCAACCCUUGUAGUUAGUUGAAUUUUUCUAGCUAGACCGCCUCGGUAACGGGGAGGAAGGAGGGGAUGAUGUCAGGUCGGUAUUACCCUUACGCCCUGGGGCGACAAACACGCUACAAUGGCCGGUACAAAGGGCAGCUAAGUCGCGAGACGGGAGCAAACCCCAUCAAAACCGGUCUCAGUUCGGAUUGCAG
Molecule: ribosomal RNA, 900 nt
Filed under: uncultured Candidatus Saccharibacteria bacterium
Lineage: Bacteria; Candidatus Saccharimonadota
Description: bacterial SSU rRNA
Rfam family: Bacterial small subunit ribosomal RNA
Source: RNAcentral